CUUUGAAAACCCAGCCAGCCGAAGAAGCCGCAAAGCAGCAACCAGCAGCCGCCGGAACGCCGCCGUAAGCCCACCGGAGGCCGUCGCACGUCCAGCCGUGCCUCCGCCUCCCUCUCUUCCCUCCUGCUGCCGGCCGACCAGCUCUUCUCUUCCUCCUGGUUGUGCCUUUCAAACCCAGAAAUUUCAUAGGAGAAGCCGCACGUCGCCUGGAGCCGCCGCACGCCGUCGCCGUUCGUCG
Molecule: long non-coding RNA, 238 nt
Filed under: Eucalyptus grandis
Lineage: Eukaryota; Viridiplantae; Streptophyta; Magnoliopsida; Myrtales; Myrtaceae
Description: long non-coding RNA (EGRA_LNC001554)
Source: RNAcentral